RNAcentral lists this ribosomal RNA (1131 nucleotides) under Triticum aestivum (bread wheat). RNAcentral's name for it is "partial small subunit ribosomal RNA". The record is from RNAcentral. Lineage: Eukaryota; Viridiplantae; Streptophyta; Magnoliopsida; Poales; Poaceae.
GCCGGUUCCUCGUCGGGGCAGAAGAGGAAGAGCGCGGGAGGAGGUGACGAAGAGGGCGAGCUCGUCGCCGAUGAGCUACUCUGGCGCUUGUCCCUCGGCUCCAUCUACGGCAGCAGCGCCGGCUUGGCGGCUCCGCCGAUGAAUGCGCCGCCCUGCCUCCAUGUGACGCAGGCACCGCCGGUGCCGCGGCGUACCUCGCCUGUGUCGCCGCCAGCCGCCGUCAGUCUAGUGGCGCAUGUCCAGAUGCACGCGGACGGUGCGGCUUUCAUCGCCGCCGGAGCCGGCCAGGUCCUUUCUUCACCAACGCUGUUUGAUGAUGGCAACAGUGCCUCUUCAGUUCGUCCGAGGGCAUCUUAUUCAGGCGUUGUGGUUGCAUCGGCCGCCAUUCCCCUGGCGGCGAAACAAGCGGCGGCUCCUCCUCUCGUGCCGCCGAUAAAACAGGACGCGGUUGCACCGCGGGCUUCACCUCCUGCACACCACCAAUCACCCCGGCGGCGCGUCACCAACAGCGCUCUACCCCAGCCGGCCGCCGUCGACGGUGCCACCGCGGCCAACAAUGCCAUCACCGUCGGGGCUUCGAGCGCCACUGCUUCACCGCCUUCCAUCAACGGUGCCACACCCGCUUCCCCACUGUUUCCGUGGGCGACCAACCGUGCCGCCAUACAUCACCCAGUCUCCUAUCUCUUCGAGCGGGGCAUCACCACCGUGGAGGGUGAGGUGAAGUGCAAACGCUGCGACCUCCUGAAGACGGUCUCCUACAACAUCGCCGUCAAGUUCAAGGAGGUCCGCGACUUCGUGUCCCACAACAUCCACGACAUGGAUGACCGUGCACCUAAAGCGUGGAUGAGCCCCGUCGUGCCAGACUGCGACGGGUGCGGGCAGAGGAACAGCCUGCGGCCGGUGAUACCGAAGGAGAAGGAGAGGGUAAAUUGGGUGUUUCUGCUGCUGGGGCAGACGCUUGGGCUAUGCUCGCUGGAACACCUCAAGUAUUUCUGUGCGUGCACAGGUCAACACCGCACCGGCGCCAAGGACAGGGUGCUCUACUCCACCUACAUGGAGCUUUGCAGCCAGCUCUGCCCUGACAGGCUCUUCAACCUGACCGCGGAGAGGCAGAAGAGGGGUCAGCAGUAU